This 717-nucleotide small RNA is filed under the name Pongo abelii (Sumatran orangutan). Its description in RNAcentral is "processed transcript". Lineage: Eukaryota; Metazoa; Chordata; Mammalia; Primates; Hominidae. The record is from RNAcentral.
CAGACUCAGCAGGCAUGACUGGAGAGGGAAGUCCCAAUGGUGCUAGAAUGGUGCUGCAGUGGCAGAAGACGGCUCACGAGUGAGGUCUGGAAGAACAACAGGGAAGACAUCCAUCAUUUGCUCCAAAGUGUGCAAGUCAAAUCCUGGGGAGAAUCAUGAUAACCCUGAUCACUGAGCAGCUACAGAAGCAGACUCUGGAUGAGCUGAAAUGCACACGCUUCAGCAUCAGUCUGAAGGUGCUUCCUGGAGGGGCCUGCCCCACUGUUCCUGUGCUGAGUUCCAGGACAGCCUCAACUUCAGCUACCAUCCCUCAGGCCUGAGCCUGCACCUCAGACCACCCAGUCGGGGAAGCUCCCCCAAGGAGCAGCCCCUCUCCCAAGUCCUAAGACCUGAGCCCCCAGAUCCAGAGAAGCUUCCUGUGCCCCCUGCCCCUCCAUCCAAGAGGCACUGCCGCUCACUCUCAGUGCCCGUGGACCUGUCUCGCUGGCAGCCGGUGUGGCGGCCCGCCCCCUCCAAGCUGUGGACUCCCAUCAAGCACCGGGGCAGUGGUGGAGGGGGUGGGCCGCAGGUGCCUCACCAGAGCCCCCCGAAGCGGGUCUCCAGCCUCAGGUUCCUCCAAGCUCCCAGUGCCUCUUCUCAAUGUGCCCCAGCCCACAGACCCUACAGCCCUCCUUUCUUCAGCCUGGCCCUGGCCCAAGAUUCCUCUCGACCCUGCGC